This 346-nucleotide ribosomal RNA is filed under the name Kocuria sp. P2. RNAcentral describes it as "partial 16S ribosomal RNA". It matches the Rfam family "Bacterial small subunit ribosomal RNA", at positions 8 to 348 of the family's 1533-position model. The record is from RNAcentral. Lineage: Bacteria; Bacillati; Actinomycetota; Actinomycetes; Micrococcales; Micrococcaceae.
AGAGUUUGAUCCUGGCUCAGGACGAACGCUGGCGGCGUGCUUAACACAUGMAARUCGAACGCUGAAGCUUGGUGCUUGCACUGGGUGGAUGAGUGGCGAACGGGUGAGUAAUACGUGAGUAACCUGCCCUUGACUYUGGGAUAAGCCUGGGAAACUGGGUCUAAUACUGGAUACGACAUGUCACCGCAUGGUGGUGUGUGGAAAGGGUUUUAMUGGUUUUGGAUGGGCUCACGGCSUAUCAGCUUGUUGGKGGGGUAAUGGCUCACCAAGGSGAYGACGGGUAGCCGGCCKRAGAGGGUGACCGGCCACACUGGGAYUGAGACACGGCCCAGACUCCUACGGGAGG